RNAcentral lists this ribosomal RNA (684 nucleotides) under Absidia glauca. Its description in RNAcentral is "partial large subunit ribosomal RNA". It matches the Rfam family "Eukaryotic large subunit ribosomal RNA", at positions 62 to 644 of the family's 3401-position model. The record is from RNAcentral. Lineage: Eukaryota; Fungi; Mucoromycota; Mucoromycetes; Mucorales; Cunninghamellaceae.
AAAAUAACAAUGAUUCCCCCAGUAACGGCGAGUGAACAGGGAAAAGCUCAAAGUUGGAAGCUCCUGGCCCUAGGCUAGGCGCAUUGUAAACUAAAGCUGUAAAGUAGUACGGUUGGCCUGGUAAAAAAGUUCCCUGGAAUGGGGCGACAUGGAGGGUGAAAUCCCCGUCUUUGGCCAGAGUUCAGUCAUGCGUUUGCUUUGCUGCGAAGAGUCAGGUUGUUUGGGAAUGCAGCCUAAAAUGGGAGGUAGACUUCUCCUAAAGCUAAAUAUUGACGAAAGACCGAUAGCGAACAAGUACCGUGAGGGAAAGAUGAAAAGCACUUUGAAAAGAGGGUCAAAAAGUACGUGAAAUUGCUGAAAGGGAACCGUAUGAAAUCAGCCUGAUGUGUGGGUAAUCAGCCUGGGCUUUGGCCUGGGUGCACUUGCCCAUGUAUUAGCCUGCGACAGUUUGACUUGGGGGAAAAAAGAUGGGGGAAUGUGGCCUCGGCUUCGGUCGUGGUGUUAUAGCCCCUGUCAAAAUACCUUGGGUUGGACUGAGGACUGCAGCGAGCCGUAAGGCAUGGGUCUCGGGCGCUUUGUCUCGGCGAAAAGUGAAUCUCUGCCUCGGGUGGUGCGCUUUUCGUCAGGGCAAACACGCCUGUUUCUUCUUUCUCUCGCUUAGGUCGUAGGCAUAAUGAUUUUAUA